GCCGAUUCGAGUGUAAACCAAUUCGAGGCCGAACCGAGUGUAGGUCAAUGUCGAAGCUCGUCGAACGGGUGAGGAACACUGCUAAGAAGCUUGUUCAAAGUGGGUGUUCAGUAUUCACUUCGCAGGCUAGCUCCGCCGCUGAGAAAAAUAUCACCGUCACAGAGCUGGUCGUGAAGCCCAGUGUGCUACCAUCGAAAAUAAGCUGAAGGCAUGGGUGCGGUGCGUAGCGACAGGUCGCCGGGGUGCGUGGUCUUCUCCGCUGCUCGUGGGUGUGGUCGCGCAAAGAUGGGUCAUCAAAGCUUGACUUUCGCGCGUGGUCGGAGGUAGUCGGAGGUCGUUAGAGAUGAACU
This 350-nucleotide unclassified non-coding RNA is filed under the name Hevea brasiliensis (rubber tree). Lineage: Eukaryota; Viridiplantae; Streptophyta; Magnoliopsida; Malpighiales; Euphorbiaceae. The record is from RNAcentral.